This 577-nucleotide long non-coding RNA is filed under the name Malus domestica (apple). RNAcentral's name for it is "long non-coding RNA (MDOM_LNC009354)". Lineage: Eukaryota; Viridiplantae; Streptophyta; Magnoliopsida; Rosales; Rosaceae. The record is from RNAcentral.
CUCCACUACAAGGGAUCCGCCUUCCACCGCGUGAUCCCCGGGUUCAUGUGCCAGGGAGGUGACUUCACCGCCGGAAACGGCACCGGAGGAGAGUCGAUCUACGGCGCCAAGUUCGCCGACGAGAACUUCAAGAAGAAGCACACCGGACCUGGAAUAUUAUCCAUGGCCAACGCGGGUCCCGGAACCAACGGAUCUCAGUUCUUCAUCUGCACAGCCAAGACCGAGUGGCUCGACGGCAAGCACGUGGUGUUCGGGCAGGUGAUCGAGGGUCUGGAUGUGGUGAAGAACAUCGAGAAGGUCGGAUCUGGACAGGGAAGGACCUCGAAGCCGGUGGUUAUCGCCGACUGCGGCCAGCUAUCCUAGACGCCGCCGCUUGGGCUGCUGAUGUAUGGACGAUGGAAACGUCGUCGUGUUAUGUGAUGAGUGUUUAAAUUUGGGUAUUAAAGUAGGUGGGGUCAUAUUAGGGUUUGGGUUAUGGACCUUAUUAUGGUUUUAAUUUUCUAAUUUUCCGUAUAAUGCUCUUCCGGUGGUUUCUUUGCUGAGACUCUCAGAUUCUUUAUUCUGUAUUGAAAUGAGC